UACGGGGGGGGCAAGCGUUGUUCGGAAUUACUGGGCGUAAAGGGCUCGUAGGCGGCCAACUAAGUCGGAUGUGAAAUCCCCAGGCUCAACUUGGGAACUGCAUCCGAUACUGGAUGGCUUGAAUCCGGGGGAGGGAUGCGGAAUUCCAGGUGUAGCGGUGAAAUGCGUAGAUAUCUGGAGGAACACCGGUGGCGAAGGCGGCAUCCUGGACCGGCAUUGACGCUGAGGCGCGAAAGCCAGGGGAGCAAACGGG
RNAcentral lists this ribosomal RNA (253 nucleotides) under uncultured bacterium. RNAcentral's name for it is "partial 16S ribosomal RNA". It matches the Rfam family "Bacterial small subunit ribosomal RNA", at positions 524 to 776 of the family's 1533-position model. The record is from RNAcentral.